This 244-nucleotide unclassified non-coding RNA is filed under the name rhizosphere metagenome. RNAcentral's name for it is "partial ribosomal RNA internal transcribed spacer region". The record is from RNAcentral.
GUAGGUGAACCUGCGGAAGGAUCAUUAACACUGAAAUCAUUGGAGGAUAACUUUUUCAAGUUGUCCUCCACAUGUCUACCCACUCUUGGACGCACUCUGAGACUGCGAAAAUCAGUCGCUUUUUUUCUCCCCAUUUUUUAAACCCAACCCCACACCAAAAUACACAUAACCAAUGCCAAUGACUGAUAUCACCAGUUUGUUAUAAAUUGUAAAACAACUCUUAACAACGGAUAUCUUGGCUCUC